RNAcentral lists this ribosomal RNA (662 nucleotides) under Glutamicibacter sp. RNAcentral's name for it is "bacterial SSU rRNA". It matches the Rfam family "Bacterial small subunit ribosomal RNA", at positions 60 to 735 of the family's 1533-position model. Lineage: Bacteria; Bacillati; Actinomycetota; Actinomycetes; Micrococcales; Micrococcaceae. The record is from RNAcentral.
AGUCGAACGAUGAAGCCCAGCUUGCUGGGUGGAUUAGUGGCGAACGGGUGAGUAACACGUGAGUAACCUGCCCCUGACUCUGGGAUAAGCCCGGGAAACUGGGUCUAAUACCGGAUAUGACUUUUGACCGCAUGGUUGAGGGUGGAAAGAUUUAUCGGUUGGGGAUGGACUCGCGGCCUAUCAGCUUGUUGGUGAGGUAAUGGCUCACCAAGGCGACGACGGGUAGCCGGCCUGAGAGGGUGACCGGCCACACUGGGACUGAGACACGGCCCAGACUCGUACGGGAGGCAGCAGUGGGGAAUAUUGCACAAUGGGCGCAAGCCUGAUGCAGCGACGCCGCGUGAGGGAUGACGGCCUUCGGGUUGUAAACCUCUUUCAGUAGGGAAGAAGCGAGAGUGACGGUACCUGCAGAAGAAGCGCCGGCUAACUACGUGCCAGCAGCCGCGGUAAUACGUAGGGCGCAAGCGUUAUCCGGAUUUAUUGGGCGUAAAGAGCUCGUAGGCGGUUUGUCGCGUCUAUCGUGAAAGUCCGAGGCUCAACCUCGGAUCUGCGGUGGGUACGGGCAGACUAGAGUGAUGUAGGGGAGACUGGAAUUCCUGGUGUAGCGGUGAAAUGCGCAGAUAUCAGGAGGAACACCGAUGGCGAAGGCAGGUCUCUGGGCA